Molecule: long non-coding RNA, 2145 nt
Organism: Anolis carolinensis (green anole)
Lineage: Eukaryota; Metazoa; Chordata; Lepidosauria; Squamata; Anolidae
Source: Ensembl
UAAGCCUGCUUUCCAUGGGAAACUUUAAGGAGUCAUGCAUCUGGACUCAGAGAUUAGCUUUCGUUUCUGGUUCCCCAGAGAACUGCUCUUUGGUGGGAAAACUAGACCCUAUUUAGGUGUUUUACCCACAAAGGGAUCUUGCGGAGUCAAUUCGUCAGCUACUGGAGUAAGUUGUGUGUGGACAGCGCGCUCCGUUUCCAAGCCUCGUUCCUGUUUCAAGCCUUGUUCCUGAUUCCAAGCCUUCGCUCCUAUUUCCAAGCCUUCGUUCCCGUUUCCAGCCUUGUUUACCUCCACGGACCUUGCCUUGUUUCCAGGACUCAGCCUUGCUUUGUUUUCCGGAUUUUGCCAAGUAAUUCCACGGAUCUUGUUCUCGCUCCUCAUUCCUUGUUGCCUUGUUUCAAGCCUUGUUCCUGAUUCCAAGCCUUCGCUCCUAUUUCCAAGCCUUCGUUCCCGUUUCCAGCCUUGUUUACCUCCACGGACCUUGCCUUGUUUCCAGGACUCAGCCUUGCUUUGUUUUCCGGAUUUUGCCAAGUAAUUCCACGGAUCUUGUUCUCGCUCCUCGUUCCUUGUUGCCUUGUAUCAAGCCUUGUUUCAAGUUAUUUCCUAGCCUUGCUCAAGUUCAUGGACUAAAGGACCUUGUCAUCUCCCCUCACUUUGCCUGGCAAAGUGAGUGUUUCGGUUAUUGGAUUACAACUUUGGACCUUAAUAUUUCAUAUUGGACAUUGUUUUCUUGGACUAAUUUUGACCUUUCCUGAAAGGUCUACUUCUGGACUAUUUCAUACACUUGCUUUUAUUAACUUUAUAUAUUUCCUUAAUAAAGAUAUUAGAUAGAUUCUGGCCUCUGUGUAUGGUUAUUGGUGCUCUGCAGCCUGGGUCGUGACAGGAGUCAAGUGCUACAGGGGAAGAACAUGGGAUGACUAGCCAUACCAGAAGAUGGACCUUGAAGUAAGACAGUUCCCUUUAUUUUUCCCUGCUUUUUCCCCUACUCAUGGGAUGAGAUCAUAAAUGCAAUGAGCAAUUAUGUCCACCUGUUUAAAAGUAUGUACUUACACAAAAACAAAGCUAAUGUAAAUGGUACCAUAGAUGGUAUGUCUGUUCGCUUCCCGUGCUUUCCCAGGAAGCGUCUGAAUAGCAUUUUCAGACACUCAUACCAUUAAGAACCAUUCCAAUUAUAAGGGGGGAAUUGCAAAAGGGACCCUGUUUCUGCCUGCUGCAACAGAGAUCAUGUUGAAGUGGGAAUGAUUGUAUAUAGAGUUGUUUAAAUGUAAUUGAGUCAUGGUUGUGCAAUGUGUGUUGGAGAUUGCAUCAUACACUGUGUGCUGCUUACUAUGCUAGUGUGUAAAGGGUUAAACUUGGAUUGCAUCAGACAGCAGAGGAUGAGAUAAAUAGCCCUCUACUUCCUAUCUCUGCCCCUUCCCAUGUGUGCCUGCGUGAGAGCUGUGUAUCGUCUUGUGGAUUGAUAGAAAACCGAAGACUGCAGUGUCAUCAUUUAUCCAGAGCUUCCUCGUCAGCGACUUCUGCUGCGUGUGCCUAGCAAAGCCACUCUGACAGAUCAGUCAUGCAAAGUUCUGCUUUCCAAGCCACAGGGGAACAGACCCCUGUCAAUCACAGCAGCUGCCGACCACUAAAUGGGAACUGGGGAAGUUAGGCUAAUAUCCACUAUGUAGAAAUAUCAUUGUCAUCUUUAUUUCUCAUCCCCUUCUCCCUGUGGAUCAAGACAUAACUACCAUGGUUACAAAGCAAUGCAGUACAUAAAAGAUUGUGGCCUUACUACUAAUAGCAACAACAACUAUUAUUGAUGGCUCCUUCCUGUAGUUACACAAAACAGUAUUGAGGAGGACUUUAGGGUGCCAGGUAUAUUGUCAUUAUAGUCAUCUGUUAAAAAUACAAAAAUAGGAACCUGAAACAAGAUUUGUUUAAUGUGUUGUCGAAGGCUUUCAUGGCCGGGAUCACAGGGUUGUUGUAUGUCUUUCGGGCUGUGUGGCCAUGUUCCAGAAGUAUUCUCUACUGACGUUUCGCCCACAUCUAUGGCAGGCAUCCUCAGAGGUUGUGAGGUAUGGAUAAACUAAGUAAGGAAAGGAAAGAAUAUAUAUCUGUGUAGAGUCCAGGGUGUGGCAAGAGUCCUUUGUCACUGGGAGCCAGCAU